This 128-nucleotide small RNA is filed under the name uncultured Plesiomonas sp. Its description in RNAcentral is "CpoB/ybgF ICR thermometer". It matches the Rfam family "CpoB/ybgF ICR thermometer", at positions 3 to 127 of the family's 139-position model. Rfam says of the family: Imprinting control region from upstream of cpoB/ybgF (tol/pal system protein). The record is from RNAcentral. Lineage: Bacteria; Pseudomonadati; Pseudomonadota; Gammaproteobacteria; Enterobacterales; Enterobacteriaceae.
AAGUCUCUAUCGUUUCUUACGGUAAAGAGAAACCAGCAGUUCUGGGCCACACAGAAGAUGCAUACGCGAAAAACCGUCGCGCAGUGCUGGUUUACUAAUAAGGAUAUUGCAUGAACCGUAACUACAGA